This 72-nucleotide transfer RNA is filed under the name Phrynosoma platyrhinos (Desert horned lizard). Its description in RNAcentral is "tRNA-OTHER". Lineage: Eukaryota; Metazoa; Chordata; Lepidosauria; Squamata; Phrynosomatidae. The record is from RNAcentral.
GCCAGCAUGGCAUAGUGGCUUGAGUGUUGGACUAGGACUCUGGAGACCAGGGUUCAAAUCCCAGCUCAGCCA